Molecule: long non-coding RNA, 1638 nt
Filed under: Ostreococcus sp. 'lucimarinus'
Lineage: Eukaryota; Viridiplantae; Chlorophyta; Mamiellophyceae; Mamiellales; Bathycoccaceae
Description: long non-coding RNA (OLUC_LNC000010)
Source: RNAcentral
CGCGAUAAACGUGCUGGCGGAUAUGAAGGAUAACAUUUCGGUCGGUCUCGACAAGGGACACGCGGUGACUAAGCGCGAGCUUGCCGCGAAGCCUGGUUCGCGUAAGGGGGUGUGUAUUGCUUUCUACUUUCACGGGUUUUUUCUAACUGCGUGCGUGCAGGUAAUAGUGGUGAAAGUAUAAAGUCAACCACGGGGCGAACCGGAAGUAGUGGUGUCAACAGUUUGAUUGCUUCACUAUUCAAUCGUCCCAAUCCCUGCACGACUGCCGUGCGUACGAUUCGACGACGAUAGAAUCGCUGCAAGAUCUCAGAAAUUUCGGACCGUGAGUUGAGUUUAGACAACAUUUGUGCCAACAUGUAACCAUCUUCGAAUGCCAGACCAGUUCCUUGACCAAUGUUUGGCAUAGUUGCGUGACACGAGUCUCCAAGCAAGACGACAUUUCCUUUCGCCCAGCUUUUCCUUAUACUUGGCGUUCGAUCGAGCAAGUCACGUUGGAUUAUACCCCCCUCGUCCGUGGCAGCUAUCAGGUUCCUUACUUCAGGUGCCCAAUCCUUAAAAGUGUUUGUGAGCGUUUUCUUCGAUGGCGUAGACGUGGGUGUGCGAGGUAGCGCCUUUACAAAUGCAUACCACUGCACUCGACCAAAACGAUCUGGACAAACCACAAAAUAGUGAUCAGGUCCAAUGAAGGCACUAUACCCAAGAUCGAAAUAAUCUGAAGAGUUCGAAAUCGGCAGACCGCUGUAAAGUUUGAAGCCAGUGUAUGAAGCUAUCGCAAAACGAUCAUUAACUGUACUUGAAACUUCAUCGAACAUUUGCGAACGCACCGUACUCCAAAUACCAUCUGCGCCUAUUAAGAUGUCGCACGACAGUGUUUCUCCAUUCUCAAGAAAAACUUCUACUCCUUUGUCUGAUUCGAAGUACCUUGAUACUGCAGUCCCCAUUCUCACUACUUCUCUAUCGGUAGAGACUCGAUUUAAUUCUUCUAGCAAAACGGAUUGAAGAUCCGAUCUAUCGAUACAAAUCGAAAACGGUAGACUGUCCUCGCAUGGUAUUUGUGUUAUGGCAUCAAAUGUAAACAUCCAUUCGGAGGUGAUGCCGUCUCGGAUCCCACUCUUUGUAGACCAAAACGGCCGACUAGCUGCUCGUAUAUUCUUCGCGAGUUCAUCACUGAUAGCAUGCGCAACACCCAUGCCAUUGCUAGCGAGCUGAAUGGGACCACCUAACGGUUUAUACUCUUUUGUUCUCUCCAGCACAGUAACGUUCAUUCCCUGCUGAACGAGACAUAUCGCAGCAAAUAGCCCCCCAAGACCUCCUCCGGCUAUGAUGAUGUCGACAUUUGCCUUCAUGUCGGUGCAAGCGCGGACGCCCGCACGCGGGCUUUUAAAAUCGCGCGGCCAUCCUUUUCCGGACGACCUUUGAUAACACUGGCGGCUAUUUUGGUCGAGCUUCACGUGCCUCGCCACACGUGUUUUCAGCAUCAUGAGGCAGCAAAUACUGACCAGUGCGAGAUGCGAGUCCUAAAGGGGUCAGUCUACGCACAACGAAGAACUGAUGUCCCUCAGUACCCACGGCGCACGCUGCCGCGUGACUUCUCGACGGUCAACCGGUGUAAUAUUCCCACAUGCGAUAUCACCCAUG